This 301-nucleotide ribosomal RNA is filed under the name uncultured bacterium. RNAcentral describes it as "partial 16S ribosomal RNA". It matches the Rfam family "Bacterial small subunit ribosomal RNA", at positions 509 to 807 of the family's 1533-position model. The record is from RNAcentral.
CAGCAGCCACGGGAAUACGUAGGGUGCAAGCGUUAAUCGGAAUUACUGGGCGUAAAGCGUGCGCAGGCGGUUUUGUAAGACAGAGGUGAAAUCCCCGGGCUCAACCUGGGAACUGCCUUUGUGACCGCAAGGCUGAAGUGCGGCAGAGGGGGAUGGAAUUCCGCGUGUAGCAGUGAAAUGCGUAGAUAUGCGGAGGAACACCGAUGGCGAAGGCAAUCCCCUGGGCCUGCACUGACGCUCAUGCACGAAAGCGUGGGGAGCAAACAGGAUUAGAUACCCCUGUAGUCCCUGUCUCUUAUAC